CCCUUAGAUGUCCUGGGCCGCACGCGCGCUACACUGAACGGAUCAGCGCGUUUUCCCUUCCCGAGAGGGACGGGUAACCUGCUGAACCCCGUUCGUGGUAGGGAUCGGGGCUUGCAAUUAUUAAUCUUCAACGAGGAAUGCCUAGUAAGCGCAAGUCAUCAGCUUGCGUUGAUUACGUCCCUGCCCUUUGUACACACCGCCCGUCGCUCCUACCGAUUGAAUGGUCCGGUGAAGCGUUCGGACCGUGGCCUUUGGACGGUUCGCCGUCUGUUGGCUGCGGGAAGUUCGUUAAACCUUAUCAUUUAGAGGAAGGAGAAGUCGUAACA
Molecule: ribosomal RNA, 326 nt
Filed under: uncultured eukaryote
Lineage: Eukaryota
Description: partial 18S ribosomal RNA
Rfam family: Eukaryotic small subunit ribosomal RNA
Source: RNAcentral